This 252-nucleotide ribosomal RNA is filed under the name uncultured Bacteroidales bacterium. RNAcentral describes it as "partial 16S ribosomal RNA". It matches the Rfam family "Bacterial small subunit ribosomal RNA", at positions 524 to 776 of the family's 1533-position model. Lineage: Bacteria; Pseudomonadati; Bacteroidota; Bacteroidia; Bacteroidales. The record is from RNAcentral.
UACGGAGGAUGCGAGCGUUAUCCGGAUUUAUUGGGUUUAAAGGGUGCGCAGGCGGCCUGUUAAGUCAGCGGUAAAAGCCCGGGGCUCAACCCCGGCGAGCCGUUGAAACUGAUGAUCUUGAGUGGGCGAGAAGUAUGCGGAAUGCGUGGUGUAGCGGUGAAAUGCUUAGAUAUCACGAAGAACCCCGAUUGCGAAGGCAGCCUGCCGCAGCGUUACUGACGCUGAAGCUCGAAAGCGCGGGUAUCGAACAGG